RNAcentral lists this transfer RNA (74 nucleotides) under Cyanobacterium aponinum PCC 10605. RNAcentral describes it as "tRNA-Ile (GAT) (tRNA-Ile-GAT-1-1)". It matches the Rfam family "tRNA". From Rfam's summary of the family: Transfer RNA (tRNA) molecules are approximately 80 nucleotides in length. Their secondary structure includes four short double-helical elements and three loops (D, anti-codon, and T loops). Lineage: Bacteria; Bacillati; Cyanobacteriota; Cyanophyceae; Chroococcales; Geminocystaceae. The record is from Rfam by way of RNAcentral.
GGGCUAUUAGCUCAGGUGGUUAGAGCACACCCCUGAUAAGGGUGAGGUCCCUGGUUCAAGUCCAGGAUGGCCCA